CUCGGGACAAGAGGGCCUGGGACCUCCUGCCCGCCCGGGCCGCGGCGGCCCAGCUCCUCCCGCUGGAACACUGCCCAGCUCCUCCCCUACAGCACUGCCUCUGCUGCCUGGGCGGCUCUUCCCCAGACCUUUUUGGGCUCAGGGUGCCCCGGGUUGCGGGGUCGCCAUCACCCCAGCGCCUACUAAUUGCUUGGCUGUGCACUAAGCACCUUACACUCCCCGUCUCAUUUAAUGGCCCCCAACACCGUGUGCGUAGGUGCCAUUAUGAACCCAUUUUACAGAUGAGGAAACUGAGGCCCCGAGAAGCCCACAGUCUCACAACGAGAAGCAGCAGAAUCGGUAAUCAAACCCAGAUCUCUGCAAAUUUCCUUCCUAGUAACUCGGAGAAGGCCCGCUGGCUGGAUGGCAGCUGUGGACGACCUGCAGUUUGAAGAAUUUGGUGAUGUAGCCGCUUCUCUAGCAGCAAACCCAGAUGCCACCACGGUCAGCAUCGAGGAUCCUGGUGAAACCCCAAAACAUCAGCCAGGACCCCCAAGAGGCUCAGGGAGAGAAGAGGAUGAUGAGUUACUGGGAAACGAUGACUCUGACAAAACUGAGUUACUUGCUGGACAGAAGAAAAGCUCCCCCUUCUGGACAUUUGAAUACUAUCAGACAUUCUUUGAUGUAGACACUUACCAGGUCUUUGACAGAAUCAAAGGGUCCCUUUUGCCAAUACCAGGGAAGAACUUCGUGAGGUUGUACGUCCGCAGCAAUCCGGACCUCUAUGGCCCGUUUUGGAUCUGUGCCACUUUGGUCUUUGCCAUAGCGAUUAGUGGGAACCUUUCCAACUUCUUAAUCCAUCUGGGACAGAAGACAUACCAUUAUGUGCCCGAAUUCCGAAAAGUGUCCAUAGCAGCCACAGUCAUCUACGCCUAUGCCUGGCUGGUUCCUCUCGCACUCUGGGGUUUCCUCAUGUGGAGAAACAGCAAAGUUAUGAACAUCGUUUCCUACUCAUUUUUGGAGAUUGUGUGUGUCUACGGAUAUUCACUCUUCAUUUAUAUCCCCACAGCAAUACUGUGGAUUAUCCCCCAGAAAGCUGUUCGUUGGAUUCUAGUCAUGAUUGCCCUGGGUGUCUCAGGCUCUGUCUUGGCAAUGACGUUUUGGCCAGCUGUUCGUGAGGAUAACCGGCGCGUCGCGUUGGCCACAAUUGUGACAAUUGUGUUGCUGCACAUACUGCUUUCUGUGGGCUGCCUGAUAAUACUGAGGCCCACACAGGGGUAGAUGACUUGUCCAAGUCACAGUGCAGUUACUAGGAGAGCCAGGUGUAGACCCUGGGCCUCUGGCUCAUUCCAUCUGAUGAGGGUUCCUCCAGUAGCCUGGCAGAAAGGCGUUGUUCCUGCAUCCUAGGGGCUUCAUGCCUCAGUGCACCUGCGAGAUAACUGGAGGGGACCCUGUCCCCACUGUAAGUUAGGGACUGUUCUUUCCCUGCCUCAGAAAACAGCUGCUGGAAGGGGCCCUGGAGAGGAAGGCUUUUAAAACUAAUCGAGUUGCUCUGAGAACGUGACCAGCUAGAGGAAGUCUGCAGCUAGAAACUCUCUGAGAGGGCCUGUUGACAAGUUACCAUGGACUGGGAGGAUGUUGGGGUAGCUCUAGCGUGUCAUGUUGGUGCCCCACUCCUGGCUGAUAGAGAGCAGAGCUGGUGAAAUGGUUCUUGACUUUGUGGCUUUUUAUCUUCUUCUUCUUCUUCUUUUUUUUUUUUUUUUUGAGGAGGAUUAGCCCUGAGCUAACAUCUGUUGCCAAUCCUCCUCUUUUUGCUGAGGAAGAUUGGUCGGGGUCUAACAUCUGUGCCCAUCUUCCUCUACUUUAUGUGUAGGACACCUGCCACAGCAUGGCUUGAUAAGCGGUGCAUAGGUCCGCGCCCGGGAUCCGAACCUGCGAACCCCAGGCUGCCAAAGCAGAGCACGUGAACUUAACCGCUGCGCCACAAGGCCAGCGGUUCUUUUUACCUUCCUGAUGCCGUGACUCCAGGGGGAGUCAUGAGUGAGCAGUCAUCUUGACUUAUUAAUGGACUCACCUUUCCUUUGAGCAACCAGCGUUCAAGGCUAGUGAGACUGGUAUUUUCCUGGGUUGAAGUUAGGAUUCUCAGACCUCGAAACAAGCGGGAAGAUCCUCCUUGGUGUUUUCCCUCUUCCACCUCCUUCUGAUUUUUGACAGUUAAAUUGUAGAUGGUGAGAGGAAGCACUUAUCAAACCUUUCAUUUCCAAGGUGAAGAAUUAUGAGAUAAGGCCUGCCCAGCACUUUCUCUUACAGGUCUUUACAGGGGGCCAGCUGGUUCAGCAGCACUCUGUCUUGAUUGUGUUCAGUAAGUCCUGAUUGUUUACGUGGUGUGCCAGGCCCUGUGCAAGCGCUGUGACAUGGAGACGAGGAGGAUGCGCUCUUUGGGGAGAGUCCGUCGAGUGUGAUGAUCAGGAGCUUGAGCUGUGGAGUCAGCAAGACCUGGCUCUGCGUCCUGCUCCACCACCCGUUAGCCAUGUGACCUGGUCUAACGACAGCCUCUCUGAGCCUCAGUGUCUUCAUCUGUCAAAUGAGGAUAAUAGUAAUGACCUCACAGGGUUGUUAUGAAGAGUAAGUCAUAUGUAGCCUACUUUUUUGAUGCACCAGAGAUGGACCAUCUCCCAACAACCACAGUUGCUCCAAACCAAACAGCCAAGUCCAGCUAAAAAGGAAA
Molecule: RNA transcript, 2707 nt
Organism: Diceros bicornis minor
Lineage: Eukaryota; Metazoa; Chordata; Mammalia; Perissodactyla; Rhinocerotidae
Gene: YIPF1
Gene name: Yip1 domain family member 1
Exons: 10
Source: RefSeq, a predicted model, not a curated record